RNAcentral lists this ribosomal RNA (204 nucleotides) under uncultured bacterium. Its description in RNAcentral is "partial 16S ribosomal RNA". It matches the Rfam family "Bacterial small subunit ribosomal RNA", at positions 524 to 731 of the family's 1533-position model. The record is from RNAcentral.
UACGGAGGGGCUAGCGUUGUCCGGAGUACUGGGCGUAAAGCGCACGCAGGCGGUCAGAUCAGUCUGGAGUGACAGUCGUCGGCUUAACCGACGAAGUGUUCUGGAAACUGUCUGACUUGAGGGCUCAGAGGGACACGGAAUUCCGGGUGGAGUGGUGAAAUGCGUAGAUAUCCGGAGGAACACCAAGGCGAAGGCAGUGUCCUG